RNAcentral lists this ribosomal RNA (1089 nucleotides) under Salmonella enterica. RNAcentral's name for it is "partial 23S ribosomal RNA". It matches the Rfam family "Bacterial large subunit ribosomal RNA", at positions 1190 to 2179 of the family's 2925-position model. The record is from RNAcentral. Lineage: Bacteria; Pseudomonadati; Pseudomonadota; Gammaproteobacteria; Enterobacterales; Enterobacteriaceae.
UGCACCGAAGCUGCGGCAGCGAACGUAUCACUUAAAGUGAUUCAGCGGGUUACGAUUGACGGAGCGAAGCGACGUCAAAGCGUAUACAAAGUCGAGUCGGUUUAAGGAUACGUUCGUUGGGUAGGGGAGCGUUCUGUAAGCCUGCGAAGGUGGCCUGUGAGGGUUGCUGGAGGUAUCAGAAGUGCGAAUGCUGACAUAAGUAACGAUAAAGCGGGUGAAAAGCCCGCUCGCCGGAAGACCAAGGGUUCCUGUCCAACGUUAAUCGGGGCAGGGUGAGUCGACCCCUAAGGCGAGGCCGAAAGGCGUAGUCGAUGGGAAACGGGUUAAUAUUCCCGUACUUGGUGUUACUGCGAAGGGGGGACGGAGAAGGCUAUGUUGGCCGGGCGACGGUUGUCCCGGUUUAAGCGUGUAGGUGUGUGUUCCAGGUAAAUCCGGUUCACUUUAACACUGAGGCGUGACGACGAGGCACUACGGUGCUGAAGCAACAAAUGCCCUGCUUCCAGGAAAAGCCUCUAAGCAUCAGGUAACAUCAAAUCGUACCCCAAACCGACACAGGUGGUCAGGUAGAGAAUACCAAGGCGCUUGAGAGAACUCGGGUGAAGGAACUAGGCAAAAUGGUGCCGUAACUUCGGGAGAAGGCACGCUGACACGUAGGUGAAGUGAUUUACUCAUGGAGCUGAAGUCAGUCGAAGAUACCAGCUGGCUGCAACUGUUUAUUAAAAACACAGCACUGUGCAAACACGAAAGUGGACGUAUACGGUGUGACGCCUGCCCGGUGCCGGAAGGUUAAUUGAUGGGGUCAGCGCAAGCGAAGCUCCUGAUCGAAGCCCCGGUAAACGGCGGCCGUAACUAUAACGGUCCUAAGGUAGCGAAAUUCCUUGUCGGGUAAGUUCCGACCUGCACGAAUGGCGUAAUGAUGGCCAGGCUGUCUCCACCCGAGACUCAGUGAAAUUGAACUCGCUGUGAAGAUGCAGUGUACCCGCGGCAAGACGGAAAGACCCCGUGAACCUUUACUAUAGCUUGACACUGAACAUUGAGCCUUGAUGUGUAGGAUAGGUGGGAGGCUUUGAAGUGUGGACGCCAGUCUGC